UACGUAGGGCGCAAGCGUUGUCCGGAAUUAUUGGGCGUAAAGAGCUCGUAGGCGGCUUGUCACGUCGGAUGUGAAAGCCCGGGGCUUAACUCCGGGUCUGCAUUCGAUACGGGCUGGCUAGAGUGUGGUAGGGGAGAUCGGAAUUCCUGGUGUAGCGGUGAAAUGCGCAGAUAUCAGGAGGAACACCGGUGGCGAAGGCGGAUCUCUGGGCCAUUACUGACGCUGAGGAGCGAAAGCGUGGGGAGCGAACAGG
This 253-nucleotide ribosomal RNA is filed under the name uncultured bacterium. RNAcentral describes it as "partial 16S ribosomal RNA". It matches the Rfam family "Bacterial small subunit ribosomal RNA", at positions 524 to 776 of the family's 1533-position model. The record is from RNAcentral.